This 364-nucleotide transfer-messenger RNA is filed under the name bacterium. It matches the Rfam family "transfer-messenger RNA". Rfam says of the family: Bacterial tmRNA, also known as 10Sa RNA or SsrA, is named for its dual tRNA and mRNA-like properties. The record is from RNAcentral.
GGGGGCGACCUGGUUUCGACGGGGGUGGGGAGACAAGAGCUGCGUGCCGAGGUCCCAGUUACCUCGUAAAACUAUUGGGACAUUUUAUACUUGCGGACAAUACGUACGCAAUGGCUGCCUAACGAGUUAGGCAGUCCGUUCCCCCGGACCUUGCCUGUGUGGUCUGGACGGAGCGCCGACUAGAGCAGGCUAGUUCAGGGGCUUCCGCUCGAGGGCCCCCGAGCGAACCCAAAUCGAGCUGGCGCGUGUAUCACCCUGUCUGUCGGGGGAUUCCGCGCGAGACUCUAAAUCGAUAGACUACGCACUGUAGACGCGCUUGUUAAACUGCUUUCGGACGCGGGUUCUAUUCCCGCCGCCUCCACCA